RNAcentral lists this ribosomal RNA (468 nucleotides) under uncultured bacterium. Its description in RNAcentral is "partial 16S ribosomal RNA". It matches the Rfam family "Bacterial small subunit ribosomal RNA", at positions 28 to 507 of the family's 1533-position model. The record is from RNAcentral.
GACGAACGCUGGCGGCGUGCUUAACACAUGCAAGUCGAACGGAAAGGCCCUGCUUGCGUGGGGUGCUCGAGUGGCGAACGGGUGAGUAACACGUGAGUAACCUGCCCUUGACUUUGGGAUAACUUCAGGAAACUGGGGCUAAUACCGGAUAGGAGCUCCGGCUGCAUGGUGGGGGUUGGAAAGUUUCGGCGGUUGGGGAUGGACUCGCGGCUUAUCAGCUUGUUGGUGGGGUAGUGGCUUACCAAGGCUUUGACGGGUAGCCGGCCUGAGAGGGUGACCGGCCACAUUGGGACUGCGAUACGGCCCAGACUCCUACGGGAGGCAGCAGUGGGGAAUAUUGCACAAUGGGCGGAAGCCUGAUGCAGCAACGCCGCGUGCGGGAUGACGGCCUUCGGGUUGUAAACCGCUUUCGCCUGUGACGAAGCGUGAGUGACGGUAAUGGGUAAAGAAGCACCGGCUAACUACGUG